Monodelphis domestica (gray short-tailed opossum) is the source of this 3614-nucleotide long non-coding RNA. RefSeq lists it as uncharacterized. The record is from RefSeq and is a predicted model, not a curated record. Lineage: Eukaryota; Metazoa; Chordata; Mammalia; Didelphimorphia; Didelphidae.
UGACCUUUAUGCGUCAUUUCCGGUUACCCCGAAACUAGACUUGGUACGGGUGUAGGCAUAGAAGCAAGCGGGCGUUAUCCUAGGAGCAGGAAGUCGGUGUUUGAGUACCUCGGAAGCUUGCAAUAUUGGACCACAGCAUGAAAUAUAUCACCCACCUUCCAGGCCUUCUGAUGAACUAGCUGUACAACAUCCAGGAACUGAAAUGAAGCCAAAAAUCUCUGUGGUAGAUCCUGGGAGGAAGACUAGAACUUUGAUUUGGAAAUUUUCAGCAUCCUUGAUGGUGAUACUGAUGAGCUCAUUGAUUAAGAAGGAAGCUUGGACUUGGAAGGCAGAGGUUCAUUCCUUUACCACUCAUGUACAGAAACAUGGAAACAGAGAGUGAAAUGGCCACAAAAAUGUGGGUCCUGUGUCACAGCUUUGUACCUGAGAUCAAAGGUGCAAUAACUCUGCAUAAAUAAACUUCCUACAACUUCUUUCCUCAUUCUUUAGUGAAUUUAUGAGAAUACUAACUUCUGCAUAAACACUUUGUUACCAUCUGAGAUAAGAUCAAGCUCUAAAAUUUCUGGGCACUGAACCCUGAGAUUAGUAGGGGGUCAUGCAAAUAGCAACAACUUAAUCAUCUUUACCAGGAAGCAUUAGACUUUGCUGACGAAUACCAGCUGGGCAAGGGACCUUUUUCUUUCUCUCUUUACAGAUGCUAUCCCAUUUGAUCUUCACAACAGCCUCAUGAGUACUGAGGCUAUUAAUAUCUCUAUUUUUACAGAUAAGGAAACUGAGACUGAGAGGUUGAGUGAUUUACCCAGGGUCACACAGCUAGUCACUGUCUGAGGCAGGAAUUUGAAUUCAAGUCUUUCAAGUCUUUCAAGUCUACCACUACAUGAUUGAUGAAGGCCCAUAAAAAUGAAUUUGUCUAGUAUUUAACAAAGGGAAGAAUACUUUCUUCUAACUCUAAAUUCAGUGCUGUUCUUUCUAUGUACAUUAUCUAUAUGGGGAGUUUGGGUGUGUGUAAAUGUAUAAGGUGAACAAUUAACUUUCAAGGGAGUGCUAAGUUGGUUGAAGCAUGAUGUGAAGUAUAGGAGAUGAUGAGAAUCCUUCAGGAUGAGGAGAAUGGAAAAGCAUAUUAGCAGUUAGCUAAUGAUCCUCUAUCAAGACCCUGUAGUUAACAUGAGUUGCUGUGCCCAGAAUUUUGAAUGAGUUUUUGACUGAUAAACUUUUACUAAGCUUUUACUUUUCAAUCAAAUCUCCUUGUUCAAGUGGGAUUAAUUAAAGACAGGCACAUAUAGCUGUAGAGUUAGUCCUACUCAGUGUCAACAUCCGUUUGCCAAGAGGCUCUUGGAUGUCAGUUGGAAUUUUUCAGAUGAGUAAUGAGUUUUUGGGAGAUGCUAGGUGGUAUAUGGAUAGAACAUCGGGCCUGGAGUCAGGGAGACCUGAGUUCAAAUUCAGAUCUAGACACUUACUAGUUGUAUGACCUUGGGAAAGUCACUUAACCCUCUUUCCCUCAGUUUCCUCAUCUAUAAAAUGAACUAGAAAAGUAAAUGGCAAAUCAUUUCAGUAUCUUUGCCAAGAAACCUACAAAUGGAGUCAGGAGUUGGACUAGACUGAAAAAUGCCUAAAAUUGAGGUUUUUUCAAAGAUGAAAAACAAAAAAGCAUAGGGAAGUGGUGCUUUGGUUUCAAUUCAUUAAUACUUUAAGAAAGGAAAAGGAAGUCUUCAAGGAAAUUUCUUAUGCAAGUAAAUACCUCAAGAGAAUGAGUUCCUACCUGAAUUGUAUUGUUAGUCUAUAAAUGAUGCUCACUCAAUCUGUGGAUAAUUGAAAAACCAAAAAUCUUUUGAAAAAAGAAGAGAUAUUUGACUUGCCUUAAAUAUGCCAAAAAUAUUCUCUAAUCCAACUUAUUAGGGUACACAUACCCGCUACUUUGAAAAGAAAUGGGAAUUGAGGGGUUGUCCAUUCAUUGGGAGAAUAACUGAACAAGUUUUAGUAAAUGAGAGUUAUGGAAUAUUAUUGUGCUAUAAGAAAUGAGAAGAAGGAUGAUUUCAGAAAAAUCUGGAACGACUGGUAUGAACUGAUGCAAAGUGAAGUGAGCAAAACCAAAAUGACCUUGUAGGCAGUGUUCAGCAAUAUUUUUUGAUGAACAACUGUGAAUGACCUAAUUGUUUUCAGCAAUGCAGUGAUCCAAGAAAAUCCAAGAGAUUCAUGAUGACACAUGCCAUCUACCUUUUGAGAAAAAAAUUAUAUAGUCUGAAUUCAGAUUGAAACAUACUACAUUUCAUUUUUUUUUCUUCUUUGAUUUGAGAUCUCUUCCACAAAAUGACUAAUAAGAAAAUGUUAUUUGCAUGAUUACACAUGUAAAAUCUGUAUCAGAUUACUUACCAUCUCAGGGAGAGGAAGGGCAGGGAGACAGAGAAGGAAGAAAGGUCAGAAGAAGGGAGAGAAUUUGGAAUUCAAUACUUAAAAAAAUGUAAAAUUCUUUUUACAUGUCACACGAGAAAGAUAAAAUAUUGUUUAAAAUACUUGCUAUAUUUAAUUAGGAAGUAUUUUAACAUAAUUUUAUUAGCCAAAUAUAGGUUCAAAUAUAGCCUAUCAACAAAUGACCCCUAAGUAUUUAUCCUAAAAAUCUUGAACUGAUUCUGAUUUCUCUUCCUGGAGAGGGGAGUCAUUAUAGAUAAUGAAAUGUAUUGAUAGAAUCAAAGUUAGAAAGAAUAUUUUGCUAUAAUUUGCACAAAUUAAUACAUGAACUCUGUCUUAAUUAUUGGAUUAUAGAAUCAAAGAUUUAGUUGGCUGAGAUCUUAAAGGCCAUCUAAUAUGGUGCUCUCAUUUUGCCAGGAAGAAAACAGUCUCAUCAAGGUUUAGGGACUUGCUCAGUGACACAGAAACAGAAUGAAGCAGAGCUGUAAUUUGAACACAUAACCUCUAAACUCCCCAAACAAUUUCACUUUGCAGUAAUUUUAUUACUACAUUGUACCCACACCUGACUGUAAUUUCACAAAAAUCCCAUUGUCCCACUAAGAACAUAAAUUCUGACAUUUAGAGUUGAGAUGCCGUUAUAUAUUAUCUAGGCCAACCCCUGCCCUCAUUUUACAGAUGAGAAAUGGAGACCCAAAGAAUUUGUGACUUGUCCAUGAUCCCAAAUGGAGUGACAUGAAUGAGAAUUCAACUUGAGGUCUUCUAAUAGCUAUAGUUCCAAAUCCUAGCACUUUGUCCUUGUUGCCCCUUUAUUUGGUCAAAUGUUCCUAAUUGCUCCCAGCAUCAUUCUUUUCCCUAACAUGGUGUUUUCUUGGAACCAAUUAAUGACAUCAGACAGGCUGUAUUUCUACAUAAGGAAAGGAGUAAAAGGAGGCUUGAAUUCAAACCCUUAGCUGAGAUAUAGUGCAGGAGGGGGAAUCAUAAGCAUUAAGGAGGCUAAAACAUAUAGAAUUGGAGAACCCAGUAGGGGAAAUAGAGUUUGGGAAGAAGAAAAAGAGGGUAGAGUUCUCAGAAUAACAGUUGGAGGGAAUCAAAGACAAAUUUUGCCUACUGCGUAAUUUUUCCUGGAGCUGGCCUUACCACCUACCCAUUUUUUCCACACAACUGAGAACGCCUCUGGAAAUGAGAACUAUAGAGAAAAAGAAAAAAUU